Molecule: transfer RNA, 64 nt
Filed under: Staphylinidae sp. BMNH 1274145
Lineage: Eukaryota; Metazoa; Arthropoda; Insecta; Coleoptera; Staphylinidae
Description: tRNA-Pro
Source: RNAcentral
CAGAGAAUAGUUUAUUUAAAAUAUUAAUUUUGGAGAUUAAUGAAAAGGGCUUUCUUUUCUCUGA